CAUCGACACAGGAAAAACUAAAGAGAAUCGGUAUCAUGAAAGCAGUCAGAUGAGCUCUCUGGUGGAGACGUUUGUGAGUAAAGCCAGCGCUUUGCAGAGACAGGGGAGGGCAGGACUUGUUCGAGAGGGCUUCUGUUUCCGCCUUUACCCCAAAUUCAGAUUGAGAGCUUCAUUGACUACUCCAUUCCUGAGAUUCUCAGAGUGCCUUUGGAGGAGCUUUGCGUUCAUAUUAUGUUACGUACCAACUUUGUCUUUUGAAACUACUUUACUGUUAAAG
This is a long non-coding RNA of Sinocyclocheilus grahami, 277 nucleotides long. RefSeq lists it as uncharacterized. Lineage: Eukaryota; Metazoa; Chordata; Actinopteri; Cypriniformes; Cyprinidae. The transcript is spliced from 3 exons. The record is from RefSeq and is a predicted model, not a curated record.